RNAcentral lists this unclassified non-coding RNA (913 nucleotides) under Hevea brasiliensis (rubber tree). Lineage: Eukaryota; Viridiplantae; Streptophyta; Magnoliopsida; Malpighiales; Euphorbiaceae. The record is from RNAcentral.
GCUUACAGAAGAUGGGAUGAAAUUAUUUGAUAAAAUGGACGUAGAUUUUCGGGUCUCGCCAUAUUUAGAGCAUUAUGCUUGUUUGAUAGAUAUCCUGGGUAGGCAGGAAGAAUUGAGGAGGCCAUGGAUGUCUAUCACCUGUCACUUGCACCCAACAAAUAAACCAAACACUUCCCAAGUGUACUUGCUCCAUACCAAACAAGUUAGGAAUGAAAAGUAGAAUCCAGUACAAAUAACAAAGAGAAACGUAUAUCAUCUUUAAACAAGGCUACAGAUUCAAAUCAAAAGUAUCAUCUACAGCAUCUUGGGAAGUGAAAGCAUCUCCAGCCAAGAGGUUUCUCCGCAUUGCUCCCUCUAAAAUAUCAAUACAUAGUCGGUCUUUAUUUGUUUCCUGACUCAGAUCUAUUUUAGCAUGAUAAUCUUUUGUCCUGGUCAAUCUUUGGCAGAUGUUAUGAGCACUUCACCUAUCCAAUGUUAAGUCUGAAACACAAGCCCCUUUUCCCAGGAGAGACACAAUAAUUGAUGGUUCUCUUUGGAUUGCCGCAAUGUGAAGAGCCGUGUAACCUUGUGAAUUUCCAAGGUUGACAUCAACAACACCAAGGUCAAGUACCUCGGACACAACCUUGCAUUCACAGUAUGCAACAACAUGAUGAAGAGAAUUGGCAUCAACUGAUGUUACAUCAGAUCCAAUGAGGAAAAGUCGUACCAGAUCAACGUCAUCCAAGUCUAAUGCCUUGCGCAUUCUCCUAAUAACAUCAGAGAUCUGGUUAUUAUCAUACAUAGGCUCUUUAGGACUAAGUUCAGUUCUCUCUGGAAGAACAUUAGGAAGCGCCUUCUCCAUUGCUAUGUUAUCUGACUUUGAUAUUCUAUCUACACACUUACAUAUAAGUUCAACUGAUAGAUAUUGGACGAG